AUAUGGUCAAGUGACGAAGCGUACACGGUGGAUGCCUUGGCAGCCAGAGGCGAUGAAGGACGUUGUAGCCUGCGAUAAGCUUCGGGGAGUCGGCAAACAGACUUUGAUCCGGAGAUUUCCGAAUGGGGAAACCCACCCUUUAUGGGUAUCCUGUACUGAAUCCAUAGGUGCAGGAGGCGAACGCGGGGAACUGAAACAUCUAAGUACCCGUAGGAACAGAAAUCAAUUGAGAUUCCGUCAGUAGCGGCGAGCGAACGCGGAUUAGCCCUUAAGCAUAUGACUGAUUAGGAGAACGGUCUGGGAAGGCCGGCCAUAGUGGGUGAUAGCCCCGUAUCCGAAAAUCUGAAUAUGUGAAAACGAGUAGGUCGGGGCACGUGAAACCUUGACUGAACAUGGGGGGACCAUCCUCCAAGGCUAAAUACUCCUGGCUGACCGAUAGUGAACCAGUACCGUGAGGGAAAGGCGAAAAGAACCCCGGAGAGGGGAGUGAAAUAGACCCUGAAACCGUGUACGUACAAGCAGUCGGAGCCCGCUUUGUUGGGUGACGGCGUACCUUUUGUAUAAUGGGUCAGCGACUUAUUCUCAGUAGCGAGGUUAACCAAUUAGGGGAGCCGUAGGGAAACCGAGUCUGAAUAGGGCGAUGUAGUUGCUGGGAAUAGACCCGAAACCGAGCGAUCUACCCAUGGGCAGGUUGAAGGUGCGGUAACACGCACUGGAGGACCGAACCGGGAUCUGUUGAAAAAGAUUCGGAUGACCUGUGGGUCGGAGUGAAAGGCUAAUCAAGCUCGGAGAUAGCUGGUUCUCCCCGAAAGCUAUUUAGGUAGCGCCUCGGACGAAUACCACUGGGGGUAGAGCACUGUUUCGGCUAGGGGGCCAUCCCGGCUUACCAACCCGAUGCAAACUCCGAAUACCAGUGAGUACUAUCCGGGAGACACACGGCGGGUGCUAACGUUCGUCGUGAAGAGGGAAACAACCCAGACCGCCAGCUAAGGUCCCCAAAUUCCAGUUAAGUGGGAAACGAUGUGGGAAGGCUCAGACAGCUAGGAGGUUGGCUUAGAAGCAGCCAUCCUUUAAAGAAAGCGUAAUAGCUCACUAGUCGAGUCGGCCUGCGCGGAAGAUGUAACGGGGCUCAAACUGGAUACCGAAGCUGCGGCAGCGUGCUUAUGCAUGCUGGGUAGGGGAGCGUUCUGUAAGUCUGUGAAGGUGUGUUGAGAAGCAUGCUGGAGAUAUCAGAAGUGCGAAUGCUGACGUGAGUAACGAUAAUGGGGGUGAAAAACCUCCACGCCGAAAGACCAAGGUUUCCUGCGCAACGCUAAUCGGCGCAGGGUAAGUCGGCCCCUAAGGCGAGGCAGAAAUGCGUAGCUGAUGGGAAACGGGUUAAUAUUCCCGUACUUCUUAUAACUGCGAUGGAGAGACGGAGAAGGCUAGGCCUACCGGGCGUUGGUUGUCCCGGGGAAAGGCAGUAGGCUGGGAUCUUAGGCAAAUCCGGGAUCCUAAGGCUGAGAGCCGAGACCAUUGGGGCUUUGUCCCCGAGAAGUGGUUGAUGCCCUGCUUCCAGGAAAAUCUUCUAAGCUUCAGGUUAUAAGGAACCGUACCCCAAACCGACACAGGUGGUUGGGAUGAGUAUUCUAAGGCGCUUGAGAGAACUCGGGUGAAGGAACUAGGCAAAGUGGUACCGUAACUUCGGGAGAAGGUACGCCACCGAUGGUGAAGGGCUUGCCCCGUAAGCUGUUGGUGGUCGCAGUGAAAAGGCCCCUGCAACUGUUUAUUAAAAACACAGCACUCUGCAAACGCGUAAGCGGACGUAUAGGGUGUGACGCCUGCCCGGUGCCGGAAGGUUAAUUGAUGGGGUUAGCUUCGGCGAAGCUCUUGAUCGAAGCCCCGGUAAACGGCGGCCGUAACUAUAACGGUCCUAAGGUAGCGAAAUUCCUUGUCGGGUAAGUUCCGACCUGCACGAAUGGCGUAAUGAUGGGGGCACUGUCUCCACCCGAGACUCAGUGAAAUCGAAAUCGCAGUGAAGAUGCUGUGUACCCGCGGCUAGACGGAAAGACCCCGUGAACCUUUACUACAGCUUCACAGUGGACUUUGAGCCUGCUUGUGUAGGAUAGCUGGGAGACGUUGAAGCAGUGACGCCAGUCAUUGUGGAGUCAACCUUGAAAUACCAGCCUGGCAUGUUUGAGGUUCUAACCCAGGCCCGUUAUCCGGGUCGGGGACAUUGUGUGGUGGGUAGUUUGACUGGGGCGGUCUCCUCCCAAAGAGUAACGGAGGAGCACAAAGGUACCCUCAGCACGGUCGGACAUCGUGCAAUGAGCGUAAAGGUAGAAGGGUGCUUGACUGCGAGACCUACAAGUCGAGCAGGUGCGAAAGCAGGUCUUAGUGAUCCGGUGGUUCUGUAUGGAAGGGCCAUCGCUCAACGGAUAAAAGGUACUCCGGGGAUAACAGGCUGAUACCGCCCAAGAGUUCAUAUCGACGGCGGUGUUUGGCACCUCGAUGUCGGCUCAUCUCAUCCUGGGGCUGAAGCCGGUCCCAAGGGUAUGGCUGUUCGCCAUUUAAAGAGGUACGCGAGCUGGGUUUAGAACGUCGUGAGACAGUUCGGUCCCUAUCUGCCGUGGGCGUUAGAGAUUUGAGAGGAGCUGCUCCUAGUACGAGAGGACCGGAGUGGACGAACCUCUGGUGUUCCGGUUGUCACGCCAGUGGCAUUGCCGGGUAGCUACGUUCGGACGGGAUAACCGCUGAAAGCAUCUAAGCGGGAAGCCUCCCUCAAGAUGAGAUCUCUCUGGGAACUUGAUUCCCCUAAAGGGCCGUUGAAGACCACAACGUUGAUAGGCGGGGUGUGGAAGCUGCCGUAAGGCGUGAAGCUAACCCGUACUAAUUGCCCGUGAGGCUUGACCAUAUAACGCCAAAGCAGUUGAACUGCAUCUGAUAGAAUGAGUGUUGGAUAAACGCUCU
Molecule: ribosomal RNA, 2949 nt
Filed under: Alcanivorax sp. EA2
Lineage: Bacteria; Pseudomonadati; Pseudomonadota; Gammaproteobacteria; Oceanospirillales; Alcanivoracaceae
Description: bacterial LSU rRNA
Rfam family: Bacterial large subunit ribosomal RNA
Source: RNAcentral